This 253-nucleotide ribosomal RNA is filed under the name uncultured bacterium. RNAcentral's name for it is "partial 16S ribosomal RNA". It matches the Rfam family "Bacterial small subunit ribosomal RNA", at positions 524 to 776 of the family's 1533-position model. The record is from RNAcentral.
UACGUAGGGUGCAAGCGUUAAUCGGAAUUACUGGGCGUAAAGCGUGCGCAGGCGGUGAUGUAAGACAGGUGUGAAAUCCCCGGGCUUAACCUGGGAACUGCAUUUGUGACUGCAUCGCUGGAGUGCGGCAGAGGGGGGUGGAAUUCCGCGUGUAGCAGUGAAAUGCGUAGAGAUGCGGAGGAACACCGAUGGCGAAGGCAGCCCCCUGGGCUAGCACUGACGCUCAGGCACGAAAGCGUGGGGAGCAAACAGG